CUACGGGGCGCUCCAGCGGGGAAUAUUGCACAAUGGGGGAAACCCUGAUGCAGCAACGCCGCGUGGAGGAUGACACAUUUCGGUGCGUAAACUCCUUUUAUAUAAGAAGAUAAUGACGGUAUUAUAUGAAUAAGCACCGGCUAACUCCGUGCCAGCAGCCGCGGUAAUACGGAGGGUGCAAGCGUUAUUCGGAAUCACUGGGCGUAAAGGGUGCGUAGGCGGUUUGGAAAGUCAGGUGUGAAAGCCCGGGGCUCAACUCCGGAACUGCACUUGAAACUUCCAGACUAGAAUACUGAAGGGGCAGAUGGAAUUAGUGGUGUAGGGGUAAAAUCCGUAGAUAUCACUAGGAAUACCGAAAGCGAAAGCGAUCUGCUGGGAAGUUAUUGACGCUGAGGCACGAAAGCGUGGGGAGCAAACAGGAUUAGAUACCCCUGUAGUC
RNAcentral lists this ribosomal RNA (439 nucleotides) under uncultured bacterium. Its description in RNAcentral is "partial 16S ribosomal RNA". It matches the Rfam family "Bacterial small subunit ribosomal RNA", at positions 339 to 795 of the family's 1533-position model. The record is from RNAcentral.